Molecule: long non-coding RNA, 458 nt
Organism: Oncorhynchus tshawytscha (Chinook salmon)
Lineage: Eukaryota; Metazoa; Chordata; Actinopteri; Salmoniformes; Salmonidae
Source: Ensembl
CAGCAAUCCGGGUUCUCCCAUAACAACAAUCAGAGUUCUCCCAUAACAACAAUCAGAGUUCUCCCAUAACAACAGAGUUCUCCCAUAACAACAGAGUUCUCCCAUAACAACACUCUUGUAUCUGAAGCUUGCCCCGUCCUCAACCCCUCUAUCCAUCAGAAAUAGUCAGCUUCCUCUAGUGCAGGGCACUCCAACCCUGUUCCUGGAGUCUACCCUCCUGUAGGUUUUAACUCCAACCCUGUUCCUGGAGUCUACCCUCCUGUAGGUUUUAACUCCAACCCUGUUCCUGGAGAGACCCUCCUGUAGGUUUUCACUCCAACCCUGUUCCUGGAGAGACCCUCCUGUAGGUUUUAACUCCAACCCUGUUCCUGGAGAGCUAACCUCCUGUAGGUUUUCACUCCAACCCUGUUCCUGGAGAGAUACCCUCCUGUAGGUUUUAAUUCCAACCCUGUUCCUGG